Molecule: ribosomal RNA, 519 nt
Filed under: uncultured bacterium
Lineage: Bacteria
Description: bacterial SSU rRNA
Rfam family: Bacterial small subunit ribosomal RNA
Source: RNAcentral
AGGACGAACGCUGGCGGCGUGCCUAAUACAUGCAAGUCGAACGGUCUUUCUAUGGAAGCUUGCUCCACUGAAAAGAUAGUGGCGAACGGGUGAGUAACACGUGGGUAACCUGCCCAUAAGAGGGGGAUAACAUCCGGAAACGGGUGCUAAUACCGCAUAGUUUCCUUGAUCGCAUGAUCGGGAAAGGAAAGACGGCCUUUGUGCUGUCGCUUAUGGAUGGACCCGCGGCGUAUUAGUUAGUUGGUGAGGUAACGGCUCACCAAGACGAUGAUACGUAGCCGACCUGAGAGGGUGAUCGGCCACAUUGGGACUGAGACACGGCCCAAACUCCUACGGGAGGCAGCAGUAGGGAAUCUUCCGCAAUGGACGAAAGUCUGACGGAGCAACGCCGCGUGAGUGAAGAAAAGGUUUUCGGAUCGUAAAACUCUGUUGUCAGAGAAGAACAAGUUGGAGAGUAACUGCUCCAGCCUUGACGGUAUCUGACCAGAAAGCCACGGCUAACUACGUGCCAGCAGCCGC